This 137-nucleotide ribosomal RNA is filed under the name uncultured bacterium. RNAcentral's name for it is "partial 16S ribosomal RNA". It matches the Rfam family "Bacterial small subunit ribosomal RNA", at positions 356 to 509 of the family's 1533-position model. The record is from RNAcentral.
GGGGGAUAUUGCACAAUGGGGGGAAACCCUGAUGCAGCGACGCCGCGUGGGUGAAGAAGCGCCUCGGCGCGUAAAGCCCUGUCAGCAGGGAAGAAAAUGACGGUACCUGAAGAAGAAGCCCCGGCUAACUACGUGCC